This 539-nucleotide ribosomal RNA is filed under the name uncultured beta proteobacterium. Its description in RNAcentral is "SSU rRNA". It matches the Rfam family "Bacterial small subunit ribosomal RNA", at positions 242 to 773 of the family's 1533-position model. Lineage: Bacteria; Pseudomonadati; Pseudomonadota; Betaproteobacteria. The record is from RNAcentral.
CAGCUAGUUGGCGGGGUAAAAGCCCACCAAGGCUUCGAUCAGUAGCUGGUCUGAGAGGACGACCAGCCACACUGGGACUGAGACACGGCCCAGACUCCUACGGGAGGCAGCAGUGGGGAAUUUUGGACAAUGGGCGCAAGCCUGAUCCAGCCAUGCCGCGUGCGGGAAGAAGGCCUUCGGGUUGUAAACCGCUUUUGGCAGGAACGAAACGGCGCGAGCGAAUAUCUCGCGUUAAUGACGGUACCUGCAGAAUAAGCACCGGCUAACUACGUGCCAGCAGCCGCGGUAAUACGUAGGGUGCAAGCGUUAAUCGGAAUUACUGGGCGUAAAGCGUACGCAGGCGGCUUUGCAAGACAGGUGUGAAAUCCCCGGGCCUAACCUGGGAACUGCAUUUGUGACUGCAUGGCUAGAGUUUGUCAGAGGGGGGUGGAAUUCCACGUGUAGCAGUGAAAUGCGUAGAUAUGUGGAGGAACACCGAUGGCGAAGGCAGCCCCCUGGGAUGUGACUGACGCUCAUGUACGAAAGCGUGGGGAGCAAAC